Molecule: long non-coding RNA, 1682 nt
Organism: Perognathus longimembris pacificus (Pacific pocket mouse)
Lineage: Eukaryota; Metazoa; Chordata; Mammalia; Rodentia; Heteromyidae
Exons: 2
Source: RefSeq, a predicted model, not a curated record
ACUUCAGAAGUAGAGUCCUUCUCUGCAAUUACUUAUCACUCUGCUCUUAUUAUUUAUGGUGGGGAAGGGGAAUUGUGGUUGCUGCAGAUGAGAAGACAAUCUGUGUCUUGACAGAUAUUAGAGUUCUUACCAGCACUUAUUGGACCUCCAGUAGGUUAUAGGUUUUGAAACAUCAUGGGAAAUCCAUUAAAAGGCGAGACUAGGCAUCUAUUUGUGGGAGGUGCAAACUCUACUGGAAAGAUCACAGUUUUCUCUCUUUGUAAAAUUUUAUAGGCUUUCUAAUCUUGUCACUUCUGUGGGUUUUUUUUAGUACUGAUAGGAAAGUCUGCUUUUAGGAUAGUUCAGCCUCAUUAUGGACAACUGGGCAAUAUUUCACCGUAACAACUGGUGCAAUAUUUCCCUUUAUUUGUUAAACAAACAUUUGCAAACACUACAGUUAUUGUUAAUCAUAUAAAUACAAACUAGACAUACUCUAAUGUGUAAUUUUUCAAUGGUUCAGAAGAUAAAAUUGUGGUUUUUUUUAAAAAAAACUUUUUCUUAUAAAAUAGUUUGUGAGAUAAUCCUCACUACAUUUCAUGCCAUGCUGCCCAAUCAGAAUAAUUUUACACUGCUGAACACCUAUUACAUGCUAGUUGCAGAGAUAAAACUAAAGGUGUAUGCUUUCAUAAAACUGAUGUUUUAUUGUAGAUUUGUGAGAGUCCAGCUAAAUGAUAGAACUUAGAAACCUAGAAUUAAAAUUUAGAUUCCUUCCUUCCAAAGACAUACUGAUUUACUUCUUGUUUGUACAUAGCAGGAUCAACUAUCAGCGAAGUAUAAUGACCAUUUGUAGAAGAUGGCUCAUUAGUCAAAUCAAAUAGUAAUAUUAGCAUAUUGAAAAUAUUCAAUCUCAUGUGUAGAAAAAAAUAUCCACAAGCUAAGCAACAUGUUGUUACGUUACAACUUCCAAUUUUAUCUUUCAUUCAGUCAGUUUCAUUUCCUUUUGGAGAGAAGAUCUUGCAGUGUCACUCAAACUGGACUAGAUAGACCUAACUCUCCUUCGGUCUCUACCUCCUAAGUGCUUCAGUAAAUUAUUUCUCUCAAUGAAAAUCAUAACCCUAAAAUUUAAACUCAAACAUAUUAGGUAACAUAUUUAAUAAGACUAAGAUCACUAUUCAAAAUCUCUACCUAAAUUACUGUCUAAUAUUUAGAUUCCAGAGACAAUAAUUACUUUAAAUGUGAAAUAGGGGAAUAUAAAGGUAGUCCCUUGGCAGAAUUUGUGGUGUAUAGAGGAAUAUGAGGUCCAAUUCUACUUUUUAAAUGACUGGGUUCUAAAAGAUGAAAAGAUAAGCAGACAUGAAAAUCCAAACUCUAAAGCAAGGAACCUCAGAUGCAUGCAUCCAGGCCAAAUCACUCUCCUCUUACAUGAUUUCCUUAAGCAGGCUCUCUUUCAAAAUAUUAUUGAAUCAAAGACAGCUACAUAAUGGCAGCAUUUGAAUUGUUUGUUAAAGCUGGAAAGACCAGAAUUUAUAGAGUAUAAUUCCCUCAUUGCUACAAAAAAUACUGAAACCCACAGAAAGAAAGUGACAUUUCUAAGGUGACCUCUUUGAUCAGUAGCAGAUCAACCACUGGACAUCAGGAUUUCUCAAACUCAAUGAGCUCAUAGAUUUGCCUUUGAGUGGUUUAAGAAAGAACCAAGAAUACCC